This 256-nucleotide ribosomal RNA is filed under the name uncultured bacterium. RNAcentral describes it as "partial 16S ribosomal RNA". It matches the Rfam family "Bacterial small subunit ribosomal RNA", at positions 524 to 776 of the family's 1533-position model. The record is from RNAcentral.
GACGUAGGUGGCGAACGUUAUCCGGAAUUAUUGGGCGUAAAGGGUGCGUAGAUGGCCUGAUAAGUUAGCAGUGGGAAAUCGAGGCUCAACCUCGUGGAAGCUGGUAAUACUGUCAGGCUCGAGUGCAGGAGAGGUUAACGGAACUCCAUGUGGAGCGGUAAAAUGUGUAGAUAUAUGGAAGAACACCAAUAACGGCGAAGGCAGUUAACUAUUCUGUUACUGACACUGAGAGACGAAAGCUAGGGGAGCGAAUGGG